RNAcentral lists this ribosomal RNA (297 nucleotides) under uncultured Actinomycetales bacterium. Its description in RNAcentral is "partial 16S ribosomal RNA". It matches the Rfam family "Bacterial small subunit ribosomal RNA", at positions 504 to 802 of the family's 1533-position model. The record is from RNAcentral. Lineage: Bacteria; Bacillati; Actinomycetota; Actinomycetes; Actinomycetales.
UGUGCCAGCAGCCGCGGUAAUACGUAGGUGCGAGCGUUGUCCGGAAUUACUGGGCGUAAAGGGCUCGUAGUGGUUUGUCGCGUCGUCUGUGAAAUUCCGGGGCUUAACUCCGGGCGUGCAGGCGAUACGGGCAUAACUUGAGUACUGUAGGGUAACUGGAAUUCCUGGUGUAGCGGUGAAAUGCGCAGAUAUCAGGAGGAACACCGAUGGCGAAGGCAGGUUACUGGGCAGUUACUGACGCUGAGGAGCGAAAGCAUGGGUAGCGAACAGGAUUAGAUACCCUGGUAGUCAAGGGCG